This 200-nucleotide ribosomal RNA is filed under the name uncultured bacterium. RNAcentral's name for it is "partial 16S ribosomal RNA". It matches the Rfam family "Bacterial small subunit ribosomal RNA", at positions 30 to 232 of the family's 1533-position model. The record is from RNAcentral.
ACUGAACGCUGGCGGCAUGCUUUACACAUGCAAGUCGAACGGUAACAGGUCUUCGGAUGCUGACGAGUGGCGAACGGGUGAGUAAUACAUCGGAACGUGCCUAGUAGUGGGGGAUAACUACUCGAAAGAGUAGCUAAUACCGCAUGAGAUCUAAGGAUGAAAGCAGGGGACCUUCGGGCCUCGCGCUACUAGAGCGGCUG